CCUACUGGAGUCAGCAGUGAGGAAUAUUGGUCAAUGGACGAGCGUCUGAACCAGCCAAGUAGCGUGAAGGAUGACUGCCCUCUGGGUUGUACACUUCUUUUAUAUGGGAGUAAAAUGUUCCACGUGUGGGAUUUUGUAUGUACCAUAUGAAUAAGGAUCGGCUAACUCCGUGCCAGCAGCCGCGGUAAUACGGAGGAUCCGAUCGUUAUCCGGAUGUAUUGGGUUUUAAGGGAGCGUAGGUGGAUUGUUAAGUCAGUUGUGAAAGUUUUGGGCUCAACCGUAAAAUUGCAGUUGAAACUGGCAGUCUUGAGUACAGUAGAGGUGAGCGGAAGUCGUGGUGUAGCGGGGAAAUGCUUAGAUAUCACGAAGAACUCCGAUUGCGAAGGCAGCUCACUGGACUGCAACUGACACUGAGGCUCGAAAGUGUGGGUAUCAAACAGGAUUAGAUACCCGUGUAGUC
This 460-nucleotide ribosomal RNA is filed under the name uncultured bacterium. RNAcentral describes it as "partial 16S ribosomal RNA". It matches the Rfam family "Bacterial small subunit ribosomal RNA", at positions 338 to 795 of the family's 1533-position model. The record is from RNAcentral.